RNAcentral lists this long non-coding RNA (4480 nucleotides) under Marmota monax (woodchuck). Lineage: Eukaryota; Metazoa; Chordata; Mammalia; Rodentia; Sciuridae. The record is from RNAcentral.
CUUCUCCUCCCGCCCCAAGGAAAGCUGAGCACUGCCCUUGAGGACUGUCACGGCUGAGCCAGAGACGGCAUCAGGAGACGUGUCCCACAUACUUCCUGGUGUCCCUGCACUUGCCUGGCCGUAGGCGGUGAGCAGGAAGAAAACCAAGUCGUUUGUCCCACUGGGAGGGUACCCCGAGCCACAUGCUGGCUCUGAGCAGCAGGCGGGGGACCAGAAAAUUCAGAUUCCCAGCCUCAGGAGGCCGCUGCCUAGGCGAGGAGGAUGGGGGUGGAGAAAGACGUCGGAGGAGCUGGCUUCAGCGGGGGAGUCCCUGACCCCCCCCCCCCGCUCCCUCUGGCCUCUGGUCUCAGCACGGCACCUCCAGAGGCCACCUCUGAGGCUAGCGGGCAGAUCCCAGGUCCAGGGAGCUGUCUGCACUGGCUGCCUCCUGCCUCCGCUGCAGAUCAAAGGCCUCCCGGAGGUCAGCGCAGCCGGGGAUUCUGGGGAGUUACUUCCCCCCCGACGGAGGGGAAGGGAGCCAGUGGGCAGCUCGGUCAGCACCUGCUGCCCAUGCCACUUCAGACGGCUGUCUCCUGGUCCCCUAAAACUACCUGCACCCAAGUCACUGUCAGGACGGGGUGAACCCCACUUAAGACACCCAGGUCGCGCUGGCCUCUGGGAGUGGUGGAGGUGACAUAACUCCUGCCCUGGUGAGGCAGGUGUGUAAUCCUCAGGAGCUGCUAGGGGAGGGGCGGACAAGGCCACCUCAAGGGGCUUCAGGGAGGACCAGGGAACAACCUUCCUCAUUCAUCCAUGUCCUCAGUUUCCCCAGUACUAAGUGCCACCCCAGAGUGGUUCCUGGCCAAGGCUACCUGAGCCCAGCCCUCCACACACCCCGAGGAAGCCCUGGGGACUGGUGGCAGCUUAGCUGCCGAAGCCAAGCCCAGGGGAGUCCUUCUCCCCGCUGAUGGCUUUCCAAAGCCUGGCAGGUCCCUCCUGCUGCCCGCCUCUUCCUCCCCUUCUCCUUUCUCCGCCUCCCAAGGACAAGGACGCAGAGAUACAGCCCCCCCUGGGCCCAGCUGGUCUCUCUCAAAAUGAGUUUCUGGAAUGUGAUCCUGGAGGGGACAGUUGGACUAUGGCUGGCACGGCCCCAGGGAAGGGACGGCUCCGUGUGUGGCUUCCAGGGACCUUGGGACGCCUGGCCUGAGAGGUGCCCGGGCUGGAGGGGAGCCCUGGCAUCCAGGGCUUCGUCCUCUUCAUCCACCCCCUUCAUCCUCUCCUCCAGACCCUGGCUGCAGGCCACGGCUGCCGAACCCCACCUCCCUCCCCAUUCUCGUCCCUCGCACUCAGGCUGGACCAAGGGACGUGUUCUGGCCAAAGGCUGGAGAGGUCAAGGGCCUGGGGGUCUCGGCCCCCCCAGCCCUGCUGGGCAAACCCCUUCCCGGGAGCCGCACCGCACUGAUCUGCCUUUGUUGGGCUGAGCUAAGGUUCCAGGGAUGACUUGGUGGCCGCGGACUGCCAAUGGCUGAGGCGCUUGUCACUCAUGCCCCAGCCCCUGCCACCCCUCUCUUCCUCCUCCCCUGGUCCUUCCUGGGUCCGGGUGGGCUCAGACGCCUUCCCCCGCUGCGCUGGGUGGCCAGGGCCGACUGAGGCUAACAGUUUCUGCAGUGCCUACGAGACCCACAGGGACAGUGGUGAACACACGGUGACACAAGCAGGAAAGCCCUGCAGCUUGAUAAACUACUGGAAGAUCUGGGUUUCUGAUCCAGAGGCUGCUCCAAGAAAAACUUGCCCCAAUAGCCCUGGUGGCCGAGGAGGAAACACAGGACAGGGCAUGGCAGACAAGGUGACAUCUGAGGGGUGGGGUGGAGGCGGGGAGUGGGGACAGAGAGGUUCUCAGACUCACCCACGCUGCAUGGUCAGGACCCGGAGCCCCAGGGGUCGAGGUGGGGGCCGAAGACUCCAGGUCAGAGGACAUUCUUGGGCAGGGACACCGGCAGGCUCCUGGAAGUCCAGAUGGAGCCCUGGGUCACGCGGGCUCCUCAGGAAGCUCGUCCUGUGCGGAGCCUGAGUGAGCUGCUACUGUCAAAAUGGGAGAAAUGGGAGCGCCCACUCGGGAGCUGACCAGCCAGCUGGAGGGAACUGGCCUCAAACACCCCCAAGGAGGGGACAGAGGUGGAAUAGCCUCACUCGGUCAUAACAGGGGGGAAGGUCCCUGCCAGCACCUGGUGCCAAGUAGGUGCUUCUCGGCCGCUGCCCGCCCCCAGCCUCCUCCUUCCUGCUGCAGCCCAGCGAGGGGCUCUGCGCUACGCGGGGCUCGGGGCUCCCAGCCACCCUCCCGCACCCCCACUGCUCCAGGAGAGUCUCCGUGAUCCCCACACCAGCAAGUAGCCGCCGAGAAAGCCCAACGCCGUGGCCAUGAACAGCACCUGUCCCAGGCCUCACCUCAGCCAGCCCGAUGCCCCAUCUUGCCAUCGAGUCCCUGUGCCACGCUGGCUCCACCCUGCUGAAGAGUGGCCUCUUCCAGGAGACUCUCCUUGUCCCUUGUCAAGUGUCUCCUGGGCACUUCAGGGAGGCUCAGUGGUCAUUGUUGGAAAGCUCACAUGUGAGCAGGGGCUCCGCAGAGGGACGGUGGGACAUUCCAGGCACUGCAGCUAAUGGGCCGGUGUCACCGGGGCCUGUCACUUGGUCCCUUCAGCCACACACAGGUCUGUUGGCAACGUGGCGGCAACACUGAUGUCCCUUCCCACGGCCUAAUCGUGUGCCCCCGCAUGCUCUCAUUUGGGGGUCACAAUCUCCAGUCCCUGUCCUUGCAGGUAACUGAACUGCUGUAGCCCUGGGCCAAAGCCUGAGAGGCAGCUCAGAAGCAGGGCAUAAAGCAGAGGUGGAGAGAGGAGGACGGACUUCGGGGGACCCCUGCCCCCCAUCAAUCACAAACUGAGGUGAGGAGAGAGCCAGAGGUAGCAGCCCCACUCCUGCUGGGGGUGGCCAGGUGGCAAUGAGGCAGGUCGGAGAAACCAGCUGGGGGGGAAACUGACCCGCGUCCUCCGUCACCUAAGGGCUGCUCGGGGCAGGAGGAGCAGGACGGAGGGCCAGGCAGGCUUGCCGCACCCUCCCAGCCCUGAGGACCCUCUGUCACCUUUUCAAGGGUCAACUCUGCAGCCCACCCUCCUCAUCUGCAGGGGGAAUGGGCCACUGUCUCCCACGCCCACUGUCCCCUGCCACAGGCUCUGUCCACCCUCCCUCGUCCCCCUAGCAGACCUGACACCGGGGCUGGGGUUGCUCUCCCUCGCCAGCUCCUGAGCCCCUGGUUUCAGAGCCUCUCACUCACCCGGGUGCCAGGGAUUUGGCAAAGUUUGGUGGACACACUGAUGGGUGGAUGGGUGAAAUGACAGCUGCCCGGGAGAACCGCGGUGAUGGUAGCUGCCAUUUCUGAACCCUCGCACGGUUCGAGGUGCCAAGCAGAGCCCUUUGAACUUAUCUUCUGCUCAUUCAUUCCGAAGACGGCCCUCUGAGUUUACAAUCAUCACAGAGUCCACAGCCAGGACAGGAGGCUGGACCAUGUGCCCAAGUCCUUCAGCCAGAAAGUGUCCGGGGGAAAUUCACAGCCAAGUGGAGCGAAUGACCAGGGUCCAAAUCACCCACCCGGCGGACAAGCUCCAGGGGACGCAUCGCCCCUUCUCAGCCUUGGUUUCUUCUCCUUGAAAUGGGGGGACGGUCCCACUUUGCAGAUGGCACCCUGUGAGGGCGUGAACCCUGGAGGAUGCUGUGCCCCUUGACCUGUGCCAUCUGCCAUCUGCAUGAGUAACUUCCAGUGUCACGUGUCGUUCUGAAUCUCUAGUCUAUGUCCUUGGGGGUCCCGAUCGAUCCUUGAUUCUUGACCUUCCCUCCAGCCAGCGGUUCCUCCCCGUGUCCCCCACACACCACGGUUCAGACUGUGACAUGCUUCAUAGCACGUCCUGCAGCUGGGGGCCAUCUGCCGCCCCCUGGGUCCUAACUUCCUUGUGUAGCAGGAAACAGUGAAGCAAGGAGGCUGAAUCCUGCUCUCCCAAGCUUUCCGAUCCCUUCCUUUUCUGCCCCACCCCGCCUGCCUCACUCCCUUUAAUCCCGCCGGCCACAAAUAUGGAAUAUGACAACUCAUUCUUCUAGGAGCCGCAGGAGAUCUCCCGCCGGCUGCAGGAGAGGCCUGAUGGCUGGUGAUCCACCUCACAUGGGCCUAGGGGCUGCCCAGGUGUUCGAGCCCCAGACUCAGGGCCGACCCCAAGGCCACCAGUACUGGGGCCCGAACGCCACGCUGCUGACACUUGGGAAUGGGCGGAUCCCUGCAGUGUUCCCCAACAGCGAGGGAUUGGGGAGCUUGGCUGAAGCGGGCAGAGCCAGUGCUCAGCUGGCCUAGGCGGCCUGUCAGGAGGCCGUCCUGGAAGAAGAGGGGUUCAAACAGAUGUGGAGAUGAGGGGGGACCCUGAGGAAGCCUGGGUGGGGCAAAGCAGGUCAGAUGAGG